RNAcentral lists this ribosomal RNA (301 nucleotides) under uncultured bacterium. RNAcentral's name for it is "partial 16S ribosomal RNA". It matches the Rfam family "Bacterial small subunit ribosomal RNA", at positions 509 to 807 of the family's 1533-position model. The record is from RNAcentral.
CAGUAGCCUCGGGAAUACGGAGGGUGCAAGCGUUAAUCGGAAUUACUGGGCGUAAAGCGUGCGUAGGCGGUUCGUUAAGUCUGUUGUGAAAGCCCCGGGCUCAACCUGGGAAUGGCAAUGGAUACUGGCGAGCUAGAGUGUGUCAGAGGAUGGUGGAAUUCCCGGUGUAGCGGUGAAAUGCGUAGAGAUCGGGAGGAACAUCAGUGGCAAAGGCGGCCAUCUGGGACAACACUGACGCUGAGGCACGAAAGCGUGGGGAGCAAACAGGAUUAGAUACCCGUGUAGUCCCUGUCUCUUAUAC